Tritrichomonas musculus is the source of this 76-nucleotide non-coding RNA. Lineage: Eukaryota; Parabasalia; Tritrichomonadida; Tritrichomonadidae. The record is from the annotation of a GenBank genome assembly.
GGUUGUUUGGACCGAGUGGUCAAAGGCUCCAGACUCAAAAUCUGCGAUAUCAUGGGUUCAAAUCCCAUAACAACCA